GCGAAGGUGGCGGAAUUGGUAGACGCGCUAGCUUCAGGUGUUAGUGUUCUUACGGACGUGGGGGUUCAAGUCCCCCCCCNNUCGCACCA
RNAcentral lists this transfer RNA (89 nucleotides) under Klebsiella pneumoniae. Its description in RNAcentral is "tRNA-Leu". It matches the Rfam family "tRNA". Rfam says of the family: Transfer RNA (tRNA) molecules are approximately 80 nucleotides in length. Their secondary structure includes four short double-helical elements and three loops (D, anti-codon, and T loops). The record is from RNAcentral. Lineage: Bacteria; Pseudomonadati; Pseudomonadota; Gammaproteobacteria; Enterobacterales; Enterobacteriaceae.